GCAGUGAUAACACUGGAUCCAUAACCCUCUGUGACCCACAGGAACGCUCAUAAGUAUAUAAGUAAACUGAAUGGGACCUUUCCUGCACACCAGUCACAAAAAUGAGUUCUGGCUGCAUAAAUCCUGUGUGUAGAAGUAAACAGCAAAAGUAUUAGAAGAUAAUAUAGUAGGAUAUGUUUUUAACCUUGGUGUUGGACAUAUCUUCCUAAAUCAGACAAAAAUGAAAGCCAUAAAGGGAAGAUUAAUGAACUUGGUUAUAUCAAAAGUUAGUGUGCUUUUAAAAAGUUAAUAGAUAAGCAACAGAAAGGGAAAAAAUGACAAAGGGAAAGCUGUAAGAAUAUCUACAAAUAGGGAGAUAUUCCUAGUUGUGGCUCAGCAGAAACAAAUCUGACUAGCAUCCAUAAGGGUGCAGGUUCGAUCCCUGGCCUCCACCCAGCACUGCUGUGAGCUGUGGUGUAGGACACAGACGCGGCUCGGAUCUGAUGUGGCUGUGGUAUAGGCCAGUGGCUACAGCUCCGAUUUGACCCCUAGCCUGGGAACCUCCAUAUGCCAUGGGGUGCAGCCCUGAAAAGCAAAACAAAAACAAAAUGCUACAGAUAGGUAAAGGACAACCAAGCAAGAAUGAAAAUGAACAAAAGAUAAGAAUGGGCAAAUCAUAGAAGAAAUGAAGAUGACUAAUGAAUAUGAGUCCCUACCUGGCUAGUACUGAGAUGCAAAUUUAAAUAACGUAUUAUAAAAACUUGGCAACUGUGUGGAGAAAUGGGUACUCCUUACUGGCACUCUGGAGGCACUGAAGUUUUUAAAAUGUUCACUAUAACCUCUGGCGGGCAGAUUAGUUAGUAUAUGAAACUGGAAACAAUCUAAAUUUCAGUCUAAAUCUAAAUCAAUAGAGGCAUACAUAGGCUACACGGAAAUAGUAGCACCAGUUUAAAAGAAAGGACUGGUAGUAGUGAUAGGGAUUUGUCAAUAAAAAACUGAUUAAAAAGUGAAAAAUGUGCUUAAUAAUAGAGUAUCAGAGAUUUUAAACCUAUUUCUAAGACGUUUUCACAAGCAUGCAAACAUUCAGAAAAAGUCUUGGACACAUCCAACGGAUAAGUGUUUCUUUUGGAGAGAGAACUGGAAGUUCCUGGGGCUAGAGGUCAAACUGGAGUUGCAGCUGCUGGCCUAUGCCGCAGCAGCACCAGAUCCAAGCUGCAUCUGCGACCCAUGCCAGAGCCCAUGGCAAUGCUGGAUCCUUUGUCCACUGAGUGAGGCCAGGGAUUGAACCCGCAUCCCCUGAAUACUAGUCGGGGUAGUUACCACUGAGCCACAAGAGGACCUCCAAGAAUGUUAUCAUUUAAAAUUGCAAACCAUUUAAAAUUUCACACCAUGGAAAAAUUGAAGUUAUGGAGAACUAGGUCAACUAGGGUGAGAGCUGGCAGCCUAAGGUGAAAACUUUUUUGGACUCUGGAGAAUCUCACCAACUCACCAGCUCUUCCCUUGACUACAGAGAGUCUAGUAAACCUCAUUCAGGUAAAGAGAGCUACAAGAACCUUUGCUAUCUACCUAAGAUAACUACACCAUACCAUUCUUAAGUGUGAACAGACAACUAAGGAUCAUCACAGAUGAAGAAACGUAUCAGCAUAAGGACCAAGAGACAGCCGAAACUCAGAAGAGGAGAAGUUAUAUAAUGAGAAGAAAAUUAACAUUUAUGUUAGUCUGAGAUUUAUCAGAUGAUGCAUUAUUUUGUCUUUUGUCUUCUUAGGGCCUCACUCGCAGCAUAUGGAGGUUCCCAGGCUAGGGGUCUAAUCAGAGCUACAGCUGCUGGCCUAUGCCACAGCCACGUCAAUGCCAGAUCUGAGCCACAUCUGAAUCCUUAACCCACUGAGCAAGGCCAGGGAUCGAACCCACAACCUCGUGGUUCCUAGUUGGAUUCAUUUUCCACUGCGCCACGAUGGGAAUUCCAGAUGAUGCAUUUUUAAAGCAAGUAUGAGAAGCUACCAAAAAGAAUUAAGUAAGAACUCUUAAGAAUGAAAAAGCAUUCUUGGAGUUCCCUCUCUGGUGCAAUGGGAUCAGAGGCAUCUCUGGAGUGCUGGAAUAGAGGUUUGAUCCCCAGGCCGGCAAAGUGGAUUAAGGAUCCAGCACUGCUGCAGCAACAACAUAGGGUGCAACUGUGGCCCAGCUCUGAUCCCUGGCCAGGAAUUCCCUAUGCCGUAGGGUGGAAGAAAAAAGAAUGCAUUACUACUGUAAUAAUAGAAGGUUUGAAAGAAAAUUAUGGAAACUCUUUUAAGUUCAUGAAUCUAAAAGAAAAUGAGAGACAAAAGGGACUUGGAAGUUUACAAGGUCCAAUGUCUAACUAAUGCACGUUUCAGAGAAAAAAAUUAAUAGAGAAAAUCUAAGAGCACUGUAUUAAAUAAGUGGUUAAGAAUCUUUCUAAACUGAAAAAAGUUAUGACUGUUCAAUGUGGAUUAAUUCACUGAAUGGUGAGCAAGCUGAAGUGCUCAACCAUACUUAUACAAUCACAAUUAUAUUAUAAAAACAAUUACAAUAGGAAAAAAGGCACCAGAAUUAUGCUUGUGGAAUUUCAUAAUACUACAGAUGAGACUAUCCUAAAAGUUUUCCAAAAAAUGUUAAUUCCUCCUAAAAGAUAAUAAUAAUCAAGACAGCAUUAGCCUUCCCUCCCAUGAGCAAUAUUAUUUAUUUACUUAUUUGCUUUUUAGGGCCACACCUGGGGCAUAUGAAAGUUCCCAGGCUAGGGGUUGAAUCAGAGCUGCAGCUGCCGGCCUACACCACAGCCACAGCAACGCAGAUCUCAGCCGCAUCUGUGUCCUAUGUCACAGCUCACGGAUCCUUAACCCACCAAGCAAGGCCCAGGUAUCGAACCUGCAACCUCAUGUUCCUAGUCAGAUUCAUUUCUGCUGCACCACAAUGGGGACUCCAUGAGCAAUAUUAGAUUGUAGAAUACAAAAUAGCACUUGUCAACUCAAGAGGUAAAAUUUCAUGGAAUCUAGAGGUCUAUAUCCAAACAGUAAAAAAAAAAAACAUGAGGCUAAAAUAAAAUAAAACAUGAGGUUGGGCCACAGAUUGAAUCAUGCCACAGGAGCGGCAAUGUCUGAUCCUAAACCUGCCGAGCCACAAGGGAACUCCCAAAUACUGGUAUUUUGCAUGUGUGGUUUACUUCAGUUUACUCCCCCUGUCCUUUAUAUAGGAGAUUAAAUGAUUAGCAACAUUUGGAUGGAAAAGGAAAGAAACAAGAAUGGCUUUAUGCAGUGGACCUACCCUGGCACAGUAGGGUUGAGGAUAACUAGCAUGGUCAUCCUGCAGCAAUCAGACCAAAUUACUGGUAGGCUAGAAAUCCAGGGAGACAGGGAAGAAAAACUUGAGGAAGACUGGAAAGGGUUACAUUACAUAGAAUUAACACGAAGCAUGAGGAUUUGUUUGUUCUUUUUGGCUGCAUCCACAGCGUAUGAAGUUCUGGGCCAGGGAAAGAACCUGCACCACAGCCGUGACGAUGCCAGAUCCGUAACCCGGUGUGCCCCAAAGGAACUCUUCAAGUUUGGGGAUUCUAGUAAUAUAGUGAAGACAAAAGUUUGUUACAAGAAGAGAAAGGCAAUUAUUGGCUCUUGAAAAAAAAACAAAGGCAAAGCCAUACCAAACAGCAUGGUCCUAUUAGAAGCCAAGCCCUCAUAAAGUGUGUCAAUUUUGGAAAAUAGCUAAAAUUUUAAAAAGAAUCUGUAUGACGGAUAUUAGAAAUAGACUCCUUUGAGUGGGAACUGGGGUCACAAUAUUGGACUUAAUAGGAGGAAAUAUCUUCGCAUACUGCUUGGUUCUGGCCCUUCGGGGAAUAACAUUUACAUGGUGAUAAGGAUCUAAUGCUAUUUUGUUUCCCACUUCAAAACAGAAAAAUCCCUUAAGUCUUGUACGUGUAUAUAUUGAUCUACCUACUUAAUAACGGAAAGGCAAAAUACAGCUGAUAGACGGACGGCGGAGUUUGCCAGGGAAAUAAGAGACUGAAGCGAGGGGGCGAUAUGCUUCGGGUAUGUAAAGGGCCAUUUCUAAAACCGACAUCUCCUCUAUAUAUCUCGAGUAAGAAGUACAGGUCAGCUAUAUUUCAAGUUAAAAAUACAUCAGAGAGGCUCAUUUAACUUACCUGAUGGGAUGAGUUAAGUCCUUGUUCUCUGAUAAGAAAGACUCGUAAAUGAGUGCAUGAAGUUGAUGAAUUUACAAAUAAGACUAUAGCAGCUAUAAUCAGGAUUCUGACAGAAACUCAAUCCGAAUUCAUUUAGGGAAAAGGUUAUUUAUCAGCUCCUUAAGCUGAAAGAUGCCGAGCGUGUAUGGUCCAGCCUCAGGCAGGCGGGACCUAGGUGCUCCGAUUCAUCCGAGAUGAGUAGCUCAUCGUUCUUUCAGUUGUUUCAUUCUCGGGCAGGCUGUCAUUUGGUAGGAAUAAAAUGGUGCAUGAUAUUAGACUUUAAAAUCCUUAGAGUUUUUAUGGAGUUCCCGUCGUGGCGCAGUGGUUAACGAAUCCGACUAGGAACCAUGAGGUUGCGGGUUUGAUCCCUGCCCUUGCUCAGUGGGUUAUGGAUCCGGCGUUGCCGUGAGCUGUGGUGUAGGCUGCAAACACAGCUCCGAUCCCACGUUGCUGUGGCCCUGGUGUAGGCCGGCGGCUACAGCUCCGAUUUGACCCCUAGCUUGGGAACCUCCAUAUGCCACAGGAGUGGCCCAAGAAAUG
This 4708-nucleotide long non-coding RNA is filed under the name Sus scrofa (pig). Its description in RNAcentral is "lncRNA (ENSSSCG00000056702.1)". Lineage: Eukaryota; Metazoa; Chordata; Mammalia; Artiodactyla; Suidae. The record is from RNAcentral.